This 253-nucleotide ribosomal RNA is filed under the name uncultured bacterium. RNAcentral describes it as "partial 16S ribosomal RNA". It matches the Rfam family "Bacterial small subunit ribosomal RNA", at positions 524 to 776 of the family's 1533-position model. The record is from RNAcentral.
UACGUAGGGGGCAAGCGUUGUCCGGAAUCAUUGGGCGUAAAGCGCGUGUAGGCGGCUCGAUAAGUCUGCUGUGAAAGCCCAGGGCUCAACCCUGGGAUGCCGGUGGAUACUGUCGAGCUCGAGUCCGGAAGAGGCGAGUGGAAUUCCUGGUGUAGCGGUGAAAUGCGCAGAUAUCAGGAGGAACACCAGUGGCGAAGGCAGCUCGCUGGGACGUGACUGACGCUGAGGCGCGAAAGCGUGGGGAGCAAACAGG